Molecule: ribosomal RNA, 460 nt
Filed under: uncultured bacterium
Lineage: Bacteria
Description: partial 16S ribosomal RNA
Rfam family: Bacterial small subunit ribosomal RNA
Source: RNAcentral
CCUACGGGCGGCAGCAGUGAGGAAUAUUGGUCAAUGGCCGGAAGGCUGAACCAGCCAUGCCGCGUGAAGGUCAGUGCCCUAUGGGCGUUAAACUUCUUUUGUGCGGGAGCAAUUAUGGUCACGUGUGGCCAGACGAGAGUACCGUACGAAUAAGCAUCGGCUAACUCCGUGCCAGCAGCCGCGGUAAUACGGGGGAUGCAAGCGUUUUCCGGAUUUAUUGGGUUUAAAGGGUGCGUAGGCUGUGAGGUAAGUCAGCGGUGAAAUGCCCCCGCUCAACGGGGUGAAGUGCCAUUGAUACUGCCUGGCUGGAAUGCGGAUGCGGUGGGAGGAAUGUGUGGUGUAGCGGUGAAAUGCAUAGAUAUCACACAGAACACCGAUUGCGAAGGCAUCUCACGAGUCCGCGAUUGACGCUGAUGCACGAAAGCGUGGGUAUCAAACAGGAUUAGAUACCCUGGUAGUC